GAGGUGCAACGUUAUCCGGAUUUAUUGGGUUUAAAGGGUGCGUAGGCGGUAGUUUAAGUCAGUGGUGAAAUCCUGCAGCUCAACUGUAGAACCGCCAUUGAAACUGAAUUACUUGAGUAAUCUUGAGGUAGGCGGAAUGUGUAGUGUAGCGGUGAAAUGCUUAGAUAUUACACAGAACACCGAUUGCGAAGGCAGCUUACUAAGGGUUUACUGACGCUGAUGCACGAAAGCGUGGGGAUCAAACAGGAUUAGAUACCCUGGUAGUCCACGCCGUAAACGAUGAUGACUCGCUGUUGGCGAUAUACAGUCCNCCGCUUAGCGAAAGCGUUAAGUCAUCCACCUGAGGAGUACGCUCGCAAGAAUGAAACUCAAAGGAAUUGACGGGGGCCCGCACAAGCGGANGAACAUGUGGUUUAAUUCGAUGAUACGCGAAGAACCUUACCUGGGCUUAAAUGUGCGCUGACAGCCGGAGAAAUUUGGCAUUCCGCAAGGACAGCGUUACAAGGUGCUGCAUGGUUGUCCUCACUCCUGCCGUGAAGUGUUCGGUUUAAUUCCCUAACGAGCGCCA
RNAcentral lists this ribosomal RNA (568 nucleotides) under uncultured bacterium. RNAcentral's name for it is "bacterial SSU rRNA". It matches the Rfam family "Bacterial small subunit ribosomal RNA", at positions 529 to 1101 of the family's 1533-position model. The record is from RNAcentral.